CCUACGGGUGGCAGCAGUGAGGAAUAUUGGUCAAUGGACGAGAGUCUGAACCAGCCAAGUAGCGUGAAGGAUGACUGCCCUAUGGGUUGUAAACUUCUUUUAUAUGGGAAUAAAACGUUCCACGUGUGGGAUUUUGUAUGUACCAUAUGAAUAAGGAUCGGCUAACUCCGUGCCAGCAGCCGCGGUAAUACGGAGGAUCCGAGCGUUAUCCGGAUUUAUUGGGGUUAAAGGGAGCGUAGGUGGAUUGUUAAGUCAGUUGUGAAAGUUUGCGGCUCAACCGUAAAAUUGCAGUUGAAACUGGCAGGGUUGAGUACAGGAGAGGUGGGCGGGGUGCGGGGUGUAGCGGUGGAAGG
RNAcentral lists this ribosomal RNA (353 nucleotides) under uncultured bacterium. RNAcentral's name for it is "partial 16S ribosomal RNA". It matches the Rfam family "Bacterial small subunit ribosomal RNA", at positions 338 to 688 of the family's 1533-position model. The record is from RNAcentral.